UACGGGGGGGGUAAGCGUUGUUCGGAAUUACUGGGCGUAAAGGGCGCGUAGGCGGCCACCGCAAGUCAAUUGUGAAAUCUCCGGGCUUAACUCGGAAAGGUCAACUGAUACUGCGGGGCUAGAGUGCGGAAGGGGCAACUGGAAUUCUCGGUGUAGCGGUGAAAUGCGUAGAUAUCGAGAGGAACACCUGCGGCGAAGGCGGGUUGCUGGGCCGACACUGACGCUGAUGCGCGAAAGCCAGGGGAGCGAACAGG
RNAcentral lists this ribosomal RNA (254 nucleotides) under uncultured bacterium. Its description in RNAcentral is "partial 16S ribosomal RNA". It matches the Rfam family "Bacterial small subunit ribosomal RNA", at positions 524 to 776 of the family's 1533-position model. The record is from RNAcentral.